This 1456-nucleotide ribosomal RNA is filed under the name Microcystis stagnalis SERB 21. RNAcentral's name for it is "bacterial SSU rRNA". It matches the Rfam family "Bacterial small subunit ribosomal RNA". The record is from RNAcentral. Lineage: Bacteria; Bacillati; Cyanobacteriota; Cyanophyceae; Chroococcales; Microcystaceae.
ACGCUGGGGGGGUGCCUAACACAUGCAAGUCGAACGGGAAACUUUGGAUUUCAGUGGGGGACGGGUGAGUAACGCGUAAGAAACUAACUUUAGGACGGGGACAACAGUUGGAAACGACUGCUAAAACCCCAUGUGCCCCAAGGUGAAACCUAAAUGGGCUGGAGAAGAGCUUGCGUCUGAUUAGCUAGUUGGUGGGGUAAGAGCCUACCAAGGGGACGAUCAGUAGCUGGUCUGAGAGGAUGAGCAGCCACACUGGGACUGAGACACGGGCCAGACUCCUACGGGAGGGAGCAGUGGGGAAAUUUUCGCAAAGGGGGAAAGCCUGACGGAGCAACGCCCCGUGAGGGAGGAAGGUCUUUGGAUUGUAAACCUCUUUUUUCAAGGAAGAAGUUUUGACGGUACUUGAGGAAACAGCCUCGGCUAACUCCCUGCCAGCAGCCCCGGUAAAACGGGGGAGGGAAGCGUUAUCCCGAAAUAUUGGGGGUAAAGCGUCCCCAGGUGGUCAGCCAAGUCUGCCCUCAAAACAGGUUGCUUAACGACCUAAAGGGGGUGGAAACUGGCAGACUAGAGAUCAGUAGGGGUAGCAGGAAAUCCCAGUGUAGCGGUGAAAAGCGUAGAGAUUGGGAAGAACAUCGGUGGGGAAAGCGUGCUACUGGGGUGUAUCUGACACUCAGGGACGAAAGCUAGGGGAGCGAAAGGGAUUAGAUACCCCUGUAGUCCUAGCCCUAAACGAUGGAUACUAGGGGUGGGUUGUAUCGACCCCAGCCCUGCCCAAGCUAACGCGUUAAGUAUCCCCCCUGGGGAGUACGCACGCAAGUGUGAAACUCAAAGGAAAUGACGGGGGGCCCCACAAGCGGUGGAGUAUGUGGUUUAAAUCGAUGCAACGCGAAGAACCUUACCAAGACUUGACAUGUCGCGAACCCUGGUGAAAGCUGGGGGUGCCUUUGGGAGCGCGAACACAGGUGGUGCAUGGGUGUCGUCAGCUCGUGUCGUGAGAUGUUGGGUUAAGUCCCCCAACGAGCGCACCCUCGUUUUUAGUUGCCAGCAUUAAGUUGGGGACUCUAAGGAGACUGCCCGUGACAAACCCGAGGAAGGUGGGGAUGACGUCAAGUCAGCAUGCCCCUUACGUCUUGGGGGACACACGUACUACAAAGGUCGGGACAAAGGGGAGCGAACUCGCGAGAGCCAGCGAAACCCAGCAAACCCCGGCUCAGUUUAGAUUGCAGGGUGCAACUCGCCUGCAUGAAGGAGGAAACGCUAGUAAACGCCCGUCAGCAUACGGGGGUGAAAUCGUUUCCCGGGCUUGUACACACCCCCCCUCACACCAUGGAAGCUGGUCACGCCCCAAGUCAUUACCUCAACCCCAAGGAGGGGGAUGCCUAAGGGAGGGGUAGUGACUGGGGUGAAGUCGUAACAAGGUAGCCCUACCCGAAGGUGUGGGUGGAUCACCUCCUUA